This 22-nucleotide small nuclear RNA is filed under the name Arabidopsis thaliana (thale cress). RNAcentral describes it as "snRNA_15419". The record is from RNAcentral. Lineage: Eukaryota; Viridiplantae; Streptophyta; Magnoliopsida; Brassicales; Brassicaceae.
GAAGAGUAGUUCAAAGAGCUGC